AAAAAUUCAAAACACGAUCGAUAACUUCGCGACAACCUCUCCCGAACUUUUAAAGCUUCCAGAAUAACGGGGAGAUUUACGAUCCUUUCUAGGCCUCUUAUGAGCCAGCGACCGAAAGAAAAAAUCUCAUGGGACCGUUUCGAAGACUUUUACACGGGCGUGAUUUAUGGCACUCUAUCUCGAAGAGUAUCGAUUAUCAACGAUGACGUCGCGUCGUUUAUUCUCCACGAAGAAGAAACGGCCGGCCGUUGCUUUGGUAGCCGGCGAUCGAAGCGCCAUCUACCAUUUCGUUAAUCCGAACCGCUCUCUCGGUAAGCUUGAACGUUUAAGCGUUUAAUGGCGGUUAAAAGUAUCUCGCGUUGCACACGCGAGUUCCCACAGGGGAACACCUACAAUUACAGGCUAUUACAAACUGGUCGUGAGUCUGUUUCACGGCUAUGGUUUUUACAGGCGAGCCAGACGAAAAAGGAUGUAAUGGGCCUGCGAAGACGAGUUCGUUGAUUCGACGUGAACGCGAGAGACAACUUUUCAACACUGAAAGUAUUCCUAGAAGUGGCGUAACGUAUAAUCCGCGAAGAAGAACGGACGCAGUCCACUGACCAAAGACCAAGGAGACUCAAAGAGGACGAAGACGAAGAAGAAGAAGAAGAAGAAGAAGAAGAGGAAGAAGAGGAAUACAAAGAAGAAGAAAGAGGAGGAAGAAGGAGGCCGGGAACAAAUUAUAUAAAAGGACCACACACGGUGCACAAGAGGGGGCAAGGAGGCCUCGGACUGCUCGAGCAUGUGGAUGAAAAGGAUCGGUGGCUCGACAGCUCCGCGCCACGUGGGUGGUGCGAGCGCCAACCGACCCCGGAAGGAUCUCACGCUACCCCCGCC
This is a long non-coding RNA of Apis dorsata (giant honeybee), 876 nucleotides long. RefSeq lists it as uncharacterized. The record is from RefSeq and is a predicted model, not a curated record. Lineage: Eukaryota; Metazoa; Arthropoda; Insecta; Hymenoptera; Apidae. The transcript is spliced from 3 exons.